This 1023-nucleotide long non-coding RNA is filed under the name Monodelphis domestica (gray short-tailed opossum). RNAcentral describes it as "lncRNA (ENSMODG00000044225.1)". Lineage: Eukaryota; Metazoa; Chordata; Mammalia; Didelphimorphia; Didelphidae. The record is from RNAcentral.
CUGUCAUAUUAACUACUCCCUGUAUGAUGUGGUAAAAUAUUAGGUAACUGACUUCCCGACAAAGGAAAAAGCACCAUCUUUAUGACAGCUCAGGAGAAUGGCACGCAUAGGAAGCUGAGCAGUUUCAGGGAGCAGGGUUAUAAUGGAUAGGAAAGGAUGGGGUAUACAAUCAAGGGCACAGACAGCAGAACUGGUUGCUCAAUUCCAUUAUUUUGGAAAGGCUGGAUCUUGGAAGCCAGACACCAUUUUCAGAGUGCUAACCGGUCAAGUACAAUGAUACUCUUUGCCAAUAAGUUGAUUAUUGCUAGUGCAUUCUUUGGCUAUAGCAACACAAUGUAGCUUUAGAACAAUAACACAAUCACUACUCUAUGUUCUUCUUUAAAAAGUUUACUCUGUGUACUGACUUAUUCUGGUUAUGAACUCUUUCUAUGUCCCUUUUCCAUCUGAUAGAAUCUCAAAAUCAUUUUCAUCAGCAUGCUAACAUAUCUCAGACUGAUCUUCAGUUUGAAUAGUAUAUUAUUAAAUAUAACUCAUCUUCCCAAGGUCUCAAUUAUUAAUGUAUCACAAUGUACUCUGUGGUCUUGCUGAAUCAGAAGCUCAAAGACUAUCUGAUAUUUCUCAACUUUGCUCUUGCUGAUUGAAAAGUAGACUAUCUACUUUCAAAGGAUAGAAUAAUAACCGUGAUGAUGACAAUAUGGCUUUUAUUAGCCAAAAUUACUAAAUUCAAUCUUAAGACUUUUCUCAGUUCUGGAACUGUCAAAGUUAUCCUUCUUCUCAGUUGUUCCCAGCAAUGUUUUGACUUUAAAUGGCUUUCACAUUGAAAUAACAACAUAUUGUUUAGAAAUAGCUCCACUCAGCUGAGGGGUAAUGGUAAAACAUAUGUGGGACUUUCUCAUUUGGUGCAGCACUACAUCGAAGAGAGAGCCAGUCUCCAGAGCCAAAUUUCUUAGUUCAACUCAGUGAGAUACAAUUCAGUUCAUCUUUGUGAAUAAAAUACCCGUCUGUGAAUUAGGUAAAGGAUCU